UCGAGCAUGUUCUUUUACAUUAUAAAAUGAUCAAACCAAUUAGUUGUUUAUUACAUUCAAAGGAGAAAUAAUAUGGCUAAAUUGUUCAAGCUUGUUAAUCUUAUCAUUCUCUCUUUUUUCCUAUUUUUUGUUGUAUGCGACGCAUGGACUUAUUAUUGUGUUACUCAAAGGACUUGUCCAGACAGUAUGUGCGUCUUUCCUGAACUACCGAAGUGCAGGUUCUUUAAAUGUAGAUGCAAACAAGAAUAUAUUAUCAACGAUGAGUAGUUCGGGUUCAAGUUCUUAAAUUGGUGGUUGACACCGUCUAAUAAUGAUUAUCGGAUGAAGAUUUUUAUAUUAAUCUUUUUUAAAAUGUAUUUGAUAAAUAAAUGUUGUAAUCAACAACUUUGAACUAGAGAAGUGUUAACUUCUUUGGAAAUAGUGAAAAAUGUCAUUUUAUUUGUUCUUCUAA
Molecule: long non-coding RNA, 451 nt
Organism: Trifolium pratense (red clover)
Lineage: Eukaryota; Viridiplantae; Streptophyta; Magnoliopsida; Fabales; Fabaceae
Exons: 3
Source: RefSeq, a predicted model, not a curated record